This 873-nucleotide unclassified non-coding RNA is filed under the name Hevea brasiliensis (rubber tree). Lineage: Eukaryota; Viridiplantae; Streptophyta; Magnoliopsida; Malpighiales; Euphorbiaceae. The record is from RNAcentral.
AUUUUUUUUUUCAUCCUUAAAUUGUUGGUAUAAGAUUGAGGAUGUUAACUCUGUAGUUGUUAAUAUUGAUAUAAGAUAUGGGUAGGUGGGCGGUGCAUUUGUAGAGCUGUGUUGUGAAAUUGGAUUCAAUGGGUCAUCAUUUAAAUGGGUACAAGCUUGUUUUCAAAUGUGAUAAUAUCAAGUAAUGUAGUAUAGAAAUAUGUCAGAAAUCUAGUUCAUAAGCUGUCUUGAUAGUUGAGACUUGAGAAUGAAACUUUGUAAUAGCAAGCAUCUCAUAACUCAGUUCUCUUCUCUUGGCUAUUAGAAGCUCAGGCAACCUUUGGAUAAGAUGAUUAACCCUCAUCAUUUUUUUAUAAUGGAAUACAUUUCUAGAGGGAACAAAGUGUGAACUUGAACUUUUUUGUGACUAUAUGCUUAUGUUCAGAAUUCAGGGAAUAGAAAACUGGCACUUCGAUGACUGGCAAUUUCUAAUGAACAAAUUGUGAAUCAAAGGAGGUCAGUUAAUUUAGGGCCUAGUUAAUUUUCCUUUGGUUUGGCUGUAAUAUCAUUAAUUUAAUUUCUUGUUUUUGAACUCACUGUUAUGCUUGCCCAUGGAAAAACGAUGGGUGGACUUUCAACUCUUUUGGGUUGUUGAUGAACUAAUGUCAACAGGCUUCAUAUUUCUUUAUAUUUUAAUAUCAACCAAAAUAAUCUUUGUAAAUUAUGCUAUUCUGUUUUCAUCAAGCAAGUUCCUUUUUUUCCUUGUAGAUUAUUGGUUCCCUUUUUUUUGCCUGAUGAUACAUCAUUGAUUCAUUAUUUCCUUGUUUGGCAUGCUAUCAAAUAUCCUUGCUUGUUUGGCUUUAACUUUUUUUUUGGUGCUACAUUUGCUGUCAG